UACAGAGGUCUCAAGCGUUGUUCGGAUUCAUUGGGCGUAAAGGGUGUGUAGGUGGUGCUGUAAGUCAGGUGUGAAAUCUCGGGGCUCAACCCCGAAACUGCACUUGAUACUGCAGUGCUCGAGGACUGGAGAGGAGAUUGGAAUUCAUGGUGUAGCAGUGAAAUGCGUAGAUAUCAUGAGGAAGACCAGUGGCGAAGGCGGAUCUCUGGACAGUUCCUGACACUGAGGCACGAAGGCCAGGGGAGCAAACGGG
This 253-nucleotide ribosomal RNA is filed under the name uncultured bacterium. RNAcentral's name for it is "partial 16S ribosomal RNA". It matches the Rfam family "Bacterial small subunit ribosomal RNA", at positions 524 to 776 of the family's 1533-position model. The record is from RNAcentral.